GAUGAACGCUGGCGGCGUGCCUAAUACAUGCAAGUCGAGCGAACAGAUGAGGAGCUUGCUCCUCUGACGUUAGCGGCGGACGGGUGAGUAACACGUGGAUAACCUACCUAUAAGACUGGGAUAACUUCGGGAAACCGGAGCUAAUACCGGAUAAUAUAUUGAACCGCACGGUUCAAUAGUGAAAGACGGUUUUGCUGUCACUUAUAGAUGGAUCCGCGCCGCAUUAGCUAGUUGGUAAGGUAACGGCUUACCAAGGCAGCGAUGCGUAGCCGACCUGAGAGGGUGAUCGGCCACACUGGAACUGAGACACGGUCCAGACUCCUACGGGAGGCAGCAGUAGGGAAUCUUCCGCAAUGGGCGAAAGCCUGACGGAGCAACGCCGCGUGAGUGAUGAAGGUCUUCGGAUCGUAAAACUCUGUUAUUAGGGAAGAACAAAUGUGUAAGUAACUAUGCACGUCUUGACGGUACCUAAUCAGAAAGCCACGGCUAACUACGUG
This 497-nucleotide ribosomal RNA is filed under the name uncultured bacterium. Its description in RNAcentral is "partial 16S ribosomal RNA". It matches the Rfam family "Bacterial small subunit ribosomal RNA", at positions 28 to 507 of the family's 1533-position model. The record is from RNAcentral.